This is a non-coding RNA of Rhodocollybia butyracea, 98 nucleotides long. The record is from the annotation of a GenBank genome assembly. Lineage: Eukaryota; Fungi; Basidiomycota; Agaricomycetes; Agaricales; Omphalotaceae.
UCCUUCUUAGCUCAGUUGGUAGAGCGCGUCACUAGUACAAGGCAUUGGGCUUCGUCUUACUUAUGACGAGGUCAGUCGUUCAAGUCGGCUAGAAGGAA